GACGUUUACUACUGUCAUCUUAUAUUGCAAUUCAACUCUGCUUAAAAUAGUAUUCUUUUUUCUUGCCUAGAUCGGCUUAUCUUUUUUCUGUAUUUUUUUUCGUCAGGUUGAAAUUAAAUUUAAUGGUGACAAAGUCAUGGUGACUUUGAUCAGUUCUUAAUUGGGGUUAUUCAAAGUUACUCCCAUCUAUAUUACAAGAAAAAUGGUAACUUGCCUUACCUCUAAAUUCUACUGAACCCCUAUAGAAACGGUUACGUAUAGCUCAAACUAUGAAGACCCUACCGUUCUACUUCACCCCCAAAGAAAUCUUGAACGAAAACCGAACCUCUCAAGAAAACAUUGACAUUAUUAAGGAUUGGCUGUUAACUCUGGAGGAGUCAGUAGUACCAGAAAUCCAAGAUGAACUAAUCAUAUUAUUCCUUUUAUCUUGCGACAAUGACAUUCCAUUGACCAAAAACACCAUCGUGAUGUAUUACAAAUGUAAAGCGGAAAGUCCGGAGAUCUUUGACGAUAGGGAAAUGGAUAGGGCGGAUAUCCAAAAAGCCAUGAACACCAUACAAAUGUGUACUUUACCAGUGAGAACCGAAGAAAAUUAUGCCAUACAUUACUUCAGAUUGAACGAUACCACUUAUUCAAAUUUCGACUUGGUUCCCACAAUGAAACUGUCUUAUAUGCUACUGGAUAUCACCCAGGAGAGAAAAUUGCCCCAUGGGUUAGUCGUUAUCAUUGAUUUAAAAGGAAUCGGUUUAAUGCACCUCUCUAGACUUAAACUGAACGCUCUGAAGAAGUAUUUUCAGUUUCUGCAGGAAGGAUUUCCCUUGCAGCUAAAGGUCAUACACAUCAUAAAUGCGGUUUAUUUCUUUGAUAAAAUUAUGAAUAUUAUCAGGGUGUUUAUGAAGAGCGAGUUAGUCAAUUUGGUAACAUAUCAGAAUAUCGUUGCAAAGAAAAAGUAUCAUCCUCCAGGUAAUCUUUAAUAUCAUUUAUGAUAUGUUGACGCGAUUUGAAAGUUAUAGCCUUUGUCAAAGAAGAUAUGCAUGAACCUGAAUUGAAAGUUCAUCCACCAUAUUCAAACCAAGAGAGACUAUACGACUUGGUCCCAAAGUACUGUUGGCCCAAGGACUAUGGCGGAGAUCUCCCAGAAGUCUCGGUUCUUCACGAGAAAACCAAAGAACAAUUUGAAGCCAAACAAGAAUAUUGGAGAAUCGAGCAAGAAAUUCGACAAAAAUCUAAUUGAUUAAUUAUUAAAUUAAGCGUUAUAUAAUAAAAAAAAUUAUUACGCA
Anthonomus grandis grandis is the source of this 1280-nucleotide RNA transcript. It is a transcript of the gene named alpha-tocopherol transfer protein-like, with no coding region annotated. The transcript has 7 exons. NCBI's taxonomy places the organism in Eukaryota, Metazoa, Arthropoda, Insecta, Coleoptera, Curculionidae. The record is from RefSeq and is a predicted model, not a curated record.